RNAcentral lists this ribosomal RNA (484 nucleotides) under uncultured bacterium. RNAcentral's name for it is "partial 16S ribosomal RNA". It matches the Rfam family "Bacterial small subunit ribosomal RNA", at positions 30 to 507 of the family's 1533-position model. The record is from RNAcentral.
AUUGAACGCUGGCGGCAGGCCUAACACAUGCAAGUCGAGCGGAUGAAGGGAGCUUGCUCCUGGAUUCAGCGGCGGACGGGUGAGUAAUGCCUAGGAAUCUGCCUGGCAGUGGGGGAUAACGUCCGGAAACGGGCGCUAAUACCGCAUACGUCCUGAGGGAGAAAGUGGGGGAUCUUCGGACCUCACGCUAUCAGAUGAGCCUAGGUCGGAUUAGCUAGUUGGUGGGGUAAAGGCCUACCAAGGCGACGAUCCGUAACUGGUCUGAGAGGAUGAUCAGUCACACUGGAACUGAGACACGGUCCAGACUCCUACGGGAGGCAGCAGUGGGGAAUAUUGGACAAUGGGCGAAAGCCUGAUCCAGCCAUGCCGCGUGUGUGAAGAAGGUCUUCGGAUUGUAAAGCACUUUAAGCUGGGAGGAAGGGCAGUAAGUUAAUACCUUGCUGUUUUGACGUUACCAACAGAAUAAGCACCGGCUAACUUCGUG